UCUUCGGUUGAAUUAGUAAACUGGCGGAUGGGUGAGUAACGCGUAGGUAACCUGCCCUUAUGAUUGGGAUAACCCUGCGAAAGUGGGGCUAAUACCGAAUGUGAUUUCGAUUGCACAUGCAGACGAAAUUAAAGUUGGUUAUGCUAACACAUAAGGAUGGACCUGCGUCCCAUUAGCUAGUUGGUAAGGUAACUGCUUACCAAGGCAACGAUGGGUAGCUGGUCUGAGAGGAUGAUCAGCCACACUGGGACUGAGAUACGGCCCAGACUCCUACGGGAGGCAGCAGUGGGGAAUAUUGCGCAAUGCCCGCAAGGGUGACGCAGCGACGCCGUGUGGGUGAAGAAGCUCUAAGGAGUGUAAAGCCCUGUCAGAGGGGAAGAAAGAUUUGGUUUCGAAAGGGGCUAUGUUUGACUGUACCCUCAGAGGAAGCUCCGGCUAACUCCGUGCCAGCAGCCGCGGUAAUACGGGGGGAGCUAGCGUUGUCCGGAAUCACUGGGCGUAAAGGGCGUGUAGGCGGGCUGGAAAGUCAGGUGUGAAAUACUAUGGCUCAACCAUAGAGUGUCAUCUGAAACUGCCAGUCUUGAGUUCGGAAGAGGGUGGUAGAAUUCCCGGUGUAGCGGUGAAAUGCGUAGAUAUCGGGAGGAAUACCGGAGGCGAAGGCGGCCACCUGGUCCGACACUGACGCUGAGGCGCGAAAGCGUGGGCAGCAAACAGGAUUAGAUACCCUGGUAGUCCACGCCGUAAACGAUGGGCACUAGAUGUCGGUUUUGUCUAAGGCAGAAUCGGUGUCGCAGCUAACGCAUUAAGUGCCCCGCCUGGGGAGUACGCUCGCAAGGGUGAAACUCAAAGGAAUUGACGGGGGCCCGCACAAGCGGUGGAGCAUGUGGUUUAAUUCGAUGCAACGCGAAGAACCUUACCGGGGCUUGAACUGCAAGGUAAACCCCAUGAAAGUGGGACUGUUCUUCGGAACGACCUUGUAGAGGUGCUGCAUGGCUGUCGUCAGCUCGUGUCGUGAGAUGUUGGGUUAAGUCCCGCAACGAGCGCAACCCUUGCCCUUAGUUGCCAGCAUGUAAUGGUGGGCACUCUAAGGGGACUGCCGGCGAUAAGCUGGAGUAAGGUGGGGAUGACGUCAAGUCCUCAUGGCCCUUACGUCCCGGGCUACACACGUGCUACAAUGGCCGGUACAACAGGUUGCAAAGCCGCAAGGUGGAGCCAAUCCUAAAAAACCGGCCUCAGUUCGGAUUGCAGUCUGCAACUCGACUGCAUGAAGUCGGAAUCGCUAGUAAUCGCAGAUCAGCACGCUGCGGUGAAUACGUUCCCGGGCCUUGUACACACCGCCCGUCACGCCAUGGAAGUCGGCAGUACCCGAAGUCGGUGUCCUAAUCCCGCAAGGGAAAGGAGCCGCCGAAGGUAAGGCUGAUAACUGGGGCGAAGUCGAAACAAGGUA
This 1447-nucleotide ribosomal RNA is filed under the name metagenome. RNAcentral's name for it is "bacterial SSU rRNA". It matches the Rfam family "Bacterial small subunit ribosomal RNA". The record is from RNAcentral.